This 73-nucleotide transfer RNA is filed under the name Candidatus Planktophila dulcis. Its description in RNAcentral is "tRNA-Val". It matches the Rfam family "tRNA". Rfam says of the family: Transfer RNA (tRNA) molecules are approximately 80 nucleotides in length. Their secondary structure includes four short double-helical elements and three loops (D, anti-codon, and T loops). The record is from RNAcentral. Lineage: Bacteria; Bacillati; Actinomycetota; Actinomycetes; Candidatus Nanopelagicales; Candidatus Nanopelagicaceae.
ACGUCUGUAGCUCAACGGAUAGAGCAGUUUCCUGACUAAGAAUCGGUUGCGGGUUCGAAUUCCGCCAGGCGUA